AUUUGAGAAUGUACUAUUAUCUUGUAAACGGUCCAGAUCCCCACCCCUAAACCAUAUAUAUUCUUGUAGGGGACAAUAAAAAUGAAAUGAAAUAAAAGGGAAGUCCCGAGGGAGUCACCCCACCCCCUCUUGUUUGAAAACUUGUAAACGGUCAACAUCCCCACCCCUAAACCAUAUAUAAUCUUGUAGGGGACAAUAAAACAAAUGAAAUGAAAUAAAAGAAAAGUCCCGAGGUGGUCACCCCACCCCGUCUUGUUUGUAAACUUGUAAACGGUCAACAUCCCCACCACUAAACCAUAUAUAUUCUUGUAAGGGACAAUAAAACAAAUAAAAUGAAAUAAAAGGGAAGUCCCUAGGGGGUUACCCCACCCCUCUUGUUUGAAAAUUUGUAAAGGGUCAACAUCCCCCACCCUAAACCAUAUAUAUUCUUGUAUGGGACAAUAAAGCUAAUCAAAUGAAAUUAAAGGGAAGUUCCUGGGGGUCGCUCCCACCCUGUUCAAUUUGAUAAUGUGCUAUUAUCUUGUAAACGGUCCAGAUCCCCACCCCUAAACCAUAUAUAUUCUUGUAGGGGACAAUAAAACAAAUGAAAUGAUAUAGAAGGGAAGUCCCGAGGGGGUCACCCCACCCCCUCUUGUUUGAAAACUUGUAAACGAUCAACGUCCCCACCCCUAAACCAUAUAUAUUCUUGUAUGGGAC
This 696-nucleotide long non-coding RNA is filed under the name Mytilus galloprovincialis (Mediterranean mussel). Lineage: Eukaryota; Metazoa; Mollusca; Bivalvia; Mytilida; Mytilidae. The record is from RNAcentral.